Molecule: long non-coding RNA, 1461 nt
Filed under: Homo sapiens (human)
Lineage: Eukaryota; Metazoa; Chordata; Mammalia; Primates; Hominidae
Description: HSALNT0243053
Source: RNAcentral
ACUAUCAACACCUCCAAGGGAAAAGGGAGAGGAGUCAGCUCUGAUCGCCUGGCGCACUGUGCAGCAAAUUCAUGUCAGAGCCAGCCUUGGAAUGUCUCCCAAGCUCCCAAGGCUCCUGGUGAGGAGGAAAAGGAGCCUUUCUCCCAGAUGUGAAACUGAUCCUAAGACCCCCUGUAAUUUCCUGCUGAAAAUCUCCACCAAGAAACACAGCCACAGCCACAGUUCUUCCUGGUAAGAAGCCCCCAGGGCCAGGCAACAAGAAAAGUGAGCUCGUUCAGCAGGCUGGGAUGUAAAUAAGCCACAAGAGGCUGUGCCAUUCUGGGUUGCACCUGUGAGCAUCACUCAGCUGAAGCCCCAUCAGCGUUUCCAUGACAAACUCGUAUUUCCGGAUGCCUUUCUUCCAGCUUGAAGAGCCUGCCUCGUGGUUGUGAAAAGUGAAAAAGAAAAUCUAAAAAAGACAAAUGGAGAAGGAACAGCUAGUGAAGUCAGAGGAAGAUUGGAAGACCCUGGUGUCCUGGAAGCAACUGAAGAAAGUGUUUCAAGAAGAAAGGAGUGAUCACAUGACUUAAAAUGCCACCGAUGGGUCAAAUAAGAACAGAGAAUUGACCAUGGAAUCUGUCAACACAGAAGUCAUCAGUGGCCUUGAUAAAUGUAGUUUCACUGCCAUGGUAAGGAUGAAAGGCUGAUUGGAGCCUGUGACGGAGACUAGGAGUGGGGGAAAAAUGAUGUCAUCAGCUGAAAGUGAGAAGCAAGGAGAACUGCGUGCAGGCCUGAAAAGAAAGGAGGCGUGAUGCAGUCAUCUGCCAGAGGGAGUAGGAGAGGCGACUUGCCUGGGGAAAACAGUGUAGGAUUGCUGGGCAGCAAUAUGGCAGCAAUGUGGUCCUCUGAGGUCAGUGGUGAUGAAUUUAAAGGGAAACCUUUCAGUACAGCUCUGUGUUUUUCUCCAGCCACCUUUAACACCUGGAGUGCAGGCAUUAAAUAGCUAAAAGUCACAUUUGACAAGUGUUGAUUUUGCUAGGCCUAUAGGUUGGGAGAGAGAAGGUCAGAAUGGUUGUCAUUGUUAUCUAUUGCUGUGAAACACAUGACUCCAACACAAUUACUCCCAAACAACAAAUAUUUAUUACCUCAUAGUUUCUGUGGGUCACAGUUUGGAAUUUGGAAGCAGCUCAGGCUGGGCAGUUCUGGCUUGGGGUCUUUCACGAGGCUGCAGUCAAAUGUUACCUCAGGUUACAGUCAUCUAAAAGCUUGUAUAGGGCUGGAGGAUCUGCUUCCAGGGUGGUGCACUCACAUGGCUGGCAAGUCAGUAGUGGUGGUUGGUGGACAACUCAGUUCCUCUACAGGCUGUCAGAGUGUACUUACAGCCUGACAACCAGCUUCUCCCAGAGCUACCAGUCCAAGAGGGAGACCUAAUCAGAAGCUAUCCUUCUUUGACCUAUGCUCAGAAGUGACAUUGCGUUCCUU